AACGAACGCUGGCGGCAUGCCUAACACAUGCAAGUCGAACGAGACCUUCGGGUCUAGUGGCGCACGGGUGCGUAACGCGUGGGAACCUGCCCUUAGGUUCGGAAUAACUCCCCGAAAGGGGUGCUAAUACCGGAUAAUGUCUUCGGACCAAAGAUUUAUCGCCUUUGGAUGGGCCCGGGUUGGUUUAGCUAGUUGGUAGGGUAAAAGCCUACCAAGGCGACGAUCCAUAGCUGGUCUGGGAGGAUGAUCAUCCACACUGGGACUGAGACACGGCCCAGACUCCUACGGGAGGGAGCAGUGGGGAAUAUUGGACAAUGAGCGAAAGCCUGAUCCAGCAAUGCCGCGUGAGUGAUGAAGGCCUUAGGGUUGUAAAGCUCUUUUACCCGGGAUGAUAAUGACAGUACCGGGAGAAGAAGCUCCGGCUAACUCCGUG
Molecule: ribosomal RNA, 433 nt
Filed under: uncultured bacterium
Lineage: Bacteria
Description: partial 16S ribosomal RNA
Rfam family: Bacterial small subunit ribosomal RNA
Source: RNAcentral